UGUGACCCAGGGUAGCCACUGGGAUUUAUGAAGAGGCAAAAGUGGGGAGAUUUGAGAAUUUAGGAAUGUCAGGAGUGGGCAUACACAGAGCUAUCUCUGGGCACCCUCACCCACUUUGCACAGGCUUUUGCACAGUGGAUGAUUGUGCUCCUGGAAGAGAUCCAGGGAGCACAAAGUACGAGACCUGCUUCUGCCCAAGAGGAUCAGAAACUGAGACCUAUGUGGGUCUCAGGGGAUGGUACUAAACCACUCGUGAGAAAUUCACCACCAUAAUCUCAUCACCUCCCACCAGGCCCCACCUCCAAAACUGGGGAUUAUAUUUCAACAUGAGAUGUGGGUGUGAACACAGAUUCGAACUAUAUCAUUCUUCCCAUGGCCCCUCCCAAAUCUCAUGUCUGUCUUACAUUUCAGAAUACAAAUAUGCCUUCCCAAUCAUCUCCCAAAGUCUCAACUCAUUCCAGCGUUAACUCAAAGACCAAAAUUCAAAGUCUCAUCUGAAACAAGGUGUUGCCAAAGGAGAUUAUUAUUUGAGUCAGAGGACUGGGAGAAGCAGACCUACCCUCGAUCUGGGUGGGUGUCAUCUAGUCAGCUGCCAGUGUGGCUAGAAUGAAGCAGGCAGAAGUUGGAAAGAGCAGACCUGCUGAGUCUUCUGGCCCUCACCGUUCUCCCGUGCUGGAUUCUUCUGGCCCUCAAACAUCAGACUCCACGUUCUUCAGCUUUUGGACUCAUGGACUUACACCAGUGGUGUGCCAGGGCCUCUUGAGCCUUUGGUCACAGACUGAAGGCUACACUGUCAGCUUCUCUAAUUUUGAGGUUUUGGGACUCAGACUGAUCCACCACUGGCUUCCUUGCUCCUCAACUUGCAGAUGGCUUCUCACGGGACUUGACUUUAUGAUCAUACUUGGCCAAUAAGAUGUUCCUGCCUAAGACUUUGAAUCUGGAAUGGGGAACACAGAGAACAUGAGCAACGAAGAAUUAUUCACAGCACAGCACAGCAGUGCUGACAGCAUCGACAGUCCUGUGGUGCCAGCAAGAAUCCAAAAGAAGUGUCCUACAUAAAUUCCCUUAAUCACUGACCAUUUAAUGAGGCUGAUUCAGCCUCAUACAAAUUUUGUAUGCUUCUUCAUACAAUUUUUAAUUGUGCUGUAAAAGUUAACCAGAGACAAUUUCUGUUGCUUGCACACAGUAAGUUGACUAAGCAAAAAAAUUCAGGAGAGAUUAUUUUAUAGAAGUCAAUGCAAAUGCAUUAAUUUACAAGAAGUGAAACUGCAAGUUCACUUUGCUGCCUUAUGGCCAGCAUAUUCUCUUACAAGGGAAGUCUAUAUGGCAAUCUGUGUUAUGAUCAGAAGAUUUGGGAAAGAUGGAAUCUGUGAGAGAGUUUUAUGACACACGGUUACAACUGAUCACAGGAUCAAACACUAAAACUCCAAUAUAUAUAUUUAUUCUUAUUAGCAAAGCUUUUAUGCUAUGGAGGAAAAAGAAAAAGAAAUAAGAAAUUCUGAGUUUCUCUAAACUUCCAGUAUGUGGAUGAGUUAAAAACUAUGUCAUCUUGGAUUCCCCAUUUUAAAUAUUUCAUAAUAAUGCAUUAUAAUUGGUACAUGUUAAUAUCAAUUUUUUCUUUUGCUGUUUUUGAAGUGGUGUGAAUCACCUGUAACAAGGUUUCCUUAUCAUCCAUUUAAUUAUUGUCCUAUAAUAUACUUUUCAAUACAGCAACUACUUUUUAUGUUUUGGGAUUACUUUUACUAUUGUUAGAUAAAACCUAUGGUUGAUUGUGUGCCUCUAGAAGAACUUCAAAAGUACAAUAUAAAUCUUGCUAACAAU
This 1821-nucleotide long non-coding RNA is filed under the name Homo sapiens (human). Its description in RNAcentral is "PREDICTED lncRNA (TCONS_00172541)". The record is from RNAcentral. Lineage: Eukaryota; Metazoa; Chordata; Mammalia; Primates; Hominidae.